AUUGAACGCUGGCGGCAGGCCUAACACAUGCAAGUCGAGCGAGCGGCGGACGGGUGAGUAAUGUCUGGGAAACUGCCUGAUGGAGGGGGAUAACUACUGGAAACGGUAGCUAAUACCGCAUACCAUCAGAUGUGCCCAGAUGGGAGUAGCUAGUAGGUGGGGUAACGGCUCAACUAGGCGACGAUCCCUAGCUGGUCUGAGAGGAUGACCCGCCACGCGGGAACGGAGAUACUGGCCAGACUCCUACGGGAGGCAGCAUGGGGGAAUAUUGCACAAUGGGCGCAAGCCUGAUGCAGCCAUGCCGCGUGUGUGAAGAAGGCCUUCGGGUUGUAAAGCACUUUCAGCGGGGAGGCGUUACCCGCAGAAGAAGCACCGGCUAACUCCGUGCCAGCCGCCGCGGUAAUAC
Molecule: ribosomal RNA, 406 nt
Filed under: uncultured bacterium
Lineage: Bacteria
Description: partial 16S ribosomal RNA
Rfam family: Bacterial small subunit ribosomal RNA
Source: RNAcentral